This 419-nucleotide ribosomal RNA is filed under the name uncultured bacterium. RNAcentral describes it as "bacterial SSU rRNA". It matches the Rfam family "Bacterial small subunit ribosomal RNA", at positions 358 to 774 of the family's 1533-position model. The record is from RNAcentral.
GGAAUAUUGGUCAAUGGGCGCAAGCCUGAACCAGCCAUGCCGCGUGGAGGACGAAGGUCCUCUGGAUUGUAAACUUCUUUUAUUUGGGACGAAAAACGGGAAAUCUUUCUCACUUGACGGUACCAGAUGAAUAAGCACCGGCUAACUCCUUGCCAGCAGCCGCGGUAAUACGGAGGGUGCAAGCGUUAUCCGGAUUCACUGGGUUUAAAGGGUGCGUAGGCGGGCUGUUAAGUCAGUGGUGAAAUCUUUGGGCUUAACCCGAAAACUGCCAUUGAUACUAUCAGUCUUGAAUAUUGUGGAGGUCUGCGGAAUAUGUCAUGUAGCGGUGAAAUGCUUAGAUAUGACAUAGAACACCAAUUGCGAAGGCAGCAGGCUACGCAUAUAUUGACGCUGAGGCACGAAAGCGUGGGGAUCAAACA